RNAcentral lists this ribosomal RNA (301 nucleotides) under uncultured bacterium. Its description in RNAcentral is "partial 16S ribosomal RNA". It matches the Rfam family "Bacterial small subunit ribosomal RNA", at positions 509 to 807 of the family's 1533-position model. The record is from RNAcentral.
CAGCCGCCGCGGGAAUACGGAGGGUGCAAGCGUUAAUCGGAAUUACUGGGCGUAAAGCGUGCGUAGGCGGUUUGUUAAGUCUGUUGUGAAAGCCCCGGGCUCAACCUGGGAAUGGCAAUGGAUACUGGCGAGCUAGAGUGUGUCAGAGGAUGGUGGAAUUCCCGGUGUAGCGGUGAAAUGCGUGGAGAUCGGGAGGAACAUCAGUGGCGAAGGCGGCCAUCUGGGACAACACUGACGCUGAGGCACGAAAGCGUGGGGAGCAAACAGGAUUAGAUACCCCGGUAGUCCCUGUCUCUUAUAC